UUCCUACGGGGGGCUGCAGUCGAGAAUCUUCGGCAAUGGGCGCAAGCCUGACCGAGCGACGCCGCGUGCGGGAUGAAGGCCCUUGGGUUGUAAACCGCUGUCAGGGGGGAGCAAGGCGUAAGCUUGAGCGAGCCCCAGAGGAAGCACGGGCUAAGUUCGUGCCAGCAGCCGCGGUAAUACGAACUGUGCGAACGUUAUUCGGAAUCACUGGGCUUACAGGGUGCGUAGGCGGCCUUUCAAGUCAGGUGUGAAAUCCCCCAGCUCAACUGGGGAACUGCGCUUGAAACUGGAGGGCUGGAGGCAACUAGAGGUGCAUGGAACUUCCGGUGGAGCGGUGAAAUGUGUUGAUAUCGGAAGGAACACCAGAGGCGAAAGCGAUGCACUGGGGUUGUUCUGACGCUGAGGCACGAAAGCCAGGGGAGCGAACGGGAUUAGAUACCCCGGUAGUC
RNAcentral lists this ribosomal RNA (449 nucleotides) under uncultured Planctomyces sp. Its description in RNAcentral is "bacterial SSU rRNA". It matches the Rfam family "Bacterial small subunit ribosomal RNA", at positions 336 to 795 of the family's 1533-position model. The record is from RNAcentral. Lineage: Bacteria; Pseudomonadati; Planctomycetota; Planctomycetia; Planctomycetales; Planctomycetaceae.